Molecule: transfer RNA, 91 nt
Filed under: Corynebacterium pyruviciproducens
Lineage: Bacteria; Bacillati; Actinomycetota; Actinomycetes; Mycobacteriales; Corynebacteriaceae
Also listed under: 1 other name
Description: tRNA-Ser
Rfam family: tRNA
About the family: Transfer RNA (tRNA) molecules are approximately 80 nucleotides in length. Their secondary structure includes four short double-helical elements and three loops (D, anti-codon, and T loops).
Source: RNAcentral
GGUGGCGUGUCCGAGCGGCCGAAGGUGCUCGCCUCGAAAGCGAGUGUUGGGUAACCCCCAACCAGGGGUUCAAAUCCCCUCGCCACCGCCA